Molecule: long non-coding RNA, 254 nt
Filed under: Salvia miltiorrhiza (redroot sage)
Lineage: Eukaryota; Viridiplantae; Streptophyta; Magnoliopsida; Lamiales; Lamiaceae
Description: long non-coding RNA (SMIL_LNC013680)
Source: RNAcentral
UUGAAUAUUUUAUCAUUACUCACAUUACAUGAUUUUCAAAAAUAAAGAAUAGAAAAGAAAAGAACAAAAGAAGUUUGAAUUGAAAACAAAAAACUGCUCCAUACCACCACCGAAUCUAUCUAUAUAAUAAAAUCAUGAAUGUAAAAGUGAGUGGAAACAUACUUGAAUAACUGAAAUUUAAAAAGUAACUAUAAUUUUAAAUUAUGGCGGGAAAAAAUAGCCAUUAAACUGUUCUUUUAUAUAAUAUAUAGAUU